CCUACGGGUGGCAGCAGUGGGGAAUAUUGCACAAUGGGGGGAACCCUGAUGCAGCGACGCCGCGUGGGUGAGGAAGUACUUCGGUAUGUAAAGCCCUAUCAGCAGGGAAGAAAAUGACGGUACCUGACUAAGAAGCCCCGGCUAACUACGUGCCAGCAGCCGCGGGAAUACGGAGGGGGCAAGCGUUAGCCGGAUUUACUGGGGGUAAAGGGAGCGUAGACGGCGUGCCAAGUCGGGUGUGAAAGGCCGGGGCUCAACCCCGGGACUGCAUUGGAUACUGGCAUGCUGGAGUGCCGGAGGGGCAAGCAGAAUUCCUAGUGUAGCGGUGAAAUGCGUAGAGAUUAGGAGGAACACCGGUGGCGAAGGCGGCUUGCUGGACGAUAACUGACGUUGAGGCGCGAAAGCGUGGGGAGCAAACAGGAUUAGAUACCCGAGUAGUC
This 440-nucleotide ribosomal RNA is filed under the name uncultured bacterium. Its description in RNAcentral is "partial 16S ribosomal RNA". It matches the Rfam family "Bacterial small subunit ribosomal RNA", at positions 338 to 795 of the family's 1533-position model. The record is from RNAcentral.